GCAGCCGCCGCGGGAAUACAGAGGGUGCGAGCGUUAAUCGGAUUUACUGGGCGUAAAGCGUGCGUAGGCGGCUAAUUGAGUCGGAUGUGAAAUCCCCGAGCUUAACUUGGGAAUUGCAUUCGAUACUGGUUAGCUAGAGUGUGGGAGAGGAUGGUAGAAUUCCAGGUGUAGCGGUGAAAUGCAUAGAGAUCUGGAGGAAUACCGAUGGCGAAGGCAGCCAUCUGGCCUAACACUGACGCUGAGGUACGAAAGCAUGGGGAGCAAACAGGAUUAGAUACCCCCGUAGUCCCUGUCUCUUAUAC
This 302-nucleotide ribosomal RNA is filed under the name uncultured bacterium. Its description in RNAcentral is "partial 16S ribosomal RNA". It matches the Rfam family "Bacterial small subunit ribosomal RNA", at positions 508 to 807 of the family's 1533-position model. The record is from RNAcentral.